CGAACGCUGGCGGCGUGCUUAACACAUGCAAGUCGAGCGGUAAGGCCCUUUCGUGGGUACACGAGCGGCGAACGGGUGAGUAACACGUGGGUGACCUGCCCUCAGCUCUGGGAUAAGCCUGGGAAACCCGGGUCUAAUACCGGAUAUGACUCCAUGACGCAUGUUGUGGGGUGGAAAGCCUUGUGCGGCUGAGGAUGGGCCCGCGGCCUAUCAGCUUGUUGGUGGGGUGAUGGCCUACCAAGGCGACGACGGGUAGCCGGCCUGAGAGGGCGACCGGCCACACUGGGACUGGAGACACGGCCCAGACCUCCUACGGGAGGCAGCAGUGGGGAAUCUUGCGCAAUGGGCGAAAGCCUGACGCAGCGACGCCGCGUGA
RNAcentral lists this ribosomal RNA (376 nucleotides) under uncultured bacterium. RNAcentral's name for it is "bacterial SSU rRNA". It matches the Rfam family "Bacterial small subunit ribosomal RNA", at positions 30 to 404 of the family's 1533-position model. The record is from RNAcentral.